UACACAAGAGAGUCAGCUUGCAUAAACAGUCAAAACACCUUAGGAUUACUUUUUCAUUCAGAUAUAUGUAAGUAAGCACCUACCGGCCUGUAUCUUGUGUAAUUUCCCACAGUUUGAUCAUUUGGUGAGUACAACCCACUGGCAUUUCUUCUCAUAAUGCUUCUUUGCCAUGUCCAUCUUCAGAGGCAGCUCCGUGGUACCUCUCUUACUCUGCGUAGCGAACCUCUUCCACUUCCUGUCCCCAACGGCAAACACAGCUCAUCAUUAAUUCAGUGGAAAGGUACGCAGGCAGACUGUCAGAAACCUGCAUUUACGCAACAGGACAGCAGUCCAUUGAAAUAAUAUCAUUUUAUGAAUUUUUUCUAAUGAUGAUCUCAACUAAAGCUGGUUUGGACAUUCAGACAGGACAGAGUGAUUGACUGCACAAAAGGUCAAUGAUGUGGAAGUCUGCACUGACAAUAGACAGGUGAAAGGCAAUCUGUGAAAUACAAUAUCCUCAUGAACUCAGUAACGUGUUAACAAUGAUCCAGAAAAAACAUUCCCUUUCAUUCACAUGGGUCAAAUUUCUACUUAGAGUGAUAUCUGAGUCAGGUUUGAACUUUUUGUGUGAAAUGUUAUUUGAUGUGUCUUCCUAUCAGUCAUAUAUAAAUGUAAACAUAUAUAUUCAAGACACGAGGACUCACUAAAGGAUAGAGGAAGGAAGGCAACUGAAGUUUUAAAGCUAUCAUCUUCCAGAUGACUUUCUGGAUUGAUAUUAGUGAUAUUUGAGUCGAUGCAGUUCUUUGAAUAAAUGCUCCACCUGUGCUUGUCUAAUUAGGUUGAUUUUCACACAGCUGUCUACAAUCACCUAAUUGCAUCAGUGUCAGUAGAAUCUGAAAGGUUUUAGUACCCUUCCCUGCACAUUGCCUAUUGUUCUUUGCUCUUAAACCUACAGGAGAAAGAGAGGACAGAGCAUGAUUGAUUGUUAUCAGAGCUGGUAGUUUUAAUCAAAUGUCUGCUUUUGUUACUGCUGCACGUGUGGUUGAAUUUACUGCCAUGGCUGUUCAAUUUGAGAUUUCUUGGCUUUGCACUCUGUUGUUCUGGGGCUGCAUUUGCUUUCCUCAUCAAAAAGGUUACAUUGCACAUGGCUACUCUCUUAAUGGUAACGAAGUCAGUUACCAUGAUGGCGUGUUUGACACACAAAUGUCAAACCAGUUUGACUCAAACACAAACCAAGACUCCAUUCGUCCAAGCGAUGAGAUGCAAGCUAUGAGACACCAAAGCUUUCUUUCCCUUCAGAGAGAACCAGUGAACCAGGAAUGCAACGAGGAGUUUAGCUCUGUUACUAGCCUCAGUGAAGAUAUGGCACAAAACAAACCAGACUCUGAGCAUUAUGUCCCCUCCGCUCCCCCUGUGCAGAAAUAUGUGCAUGACGGUUCUGGUUCUCUACACCCUUUUGGCAUUUUACUGAAGAAGCACACACAAGCGCAAACCAGUGGGGGAACCAGUUUCCAAACUAUCCAAGAUGUCAAACGGUUUAUAGAAACAAUGAAGAGAUCCUUCUUAAUGCCAGGAGGUGACAAGGGUAGACAUUUUCAAACUGCAAAGGAAACCAUGGCAAAUGAGAUGGCUUCUAAUGCUCAAAAUAUAAAGGGGGUCAACCCUCCAAACAGCCCAUCUCAAUAUUUUAGCAACCAUUUAAGCAAGCCAUCCAAUAUAAUGCCUCUAACCUCUGAGAAUAUCCAACAACCAAAAUAUACAAGAUAUCGAAAACCAUCUGGUGGCUUUGGAAAUCUUCACCACAUUCAAAGUGAGGAGCUAAACAGAGGGACACCAGCUAAUGUCCUGUCCUAUACCAAUAAUUUCUAUGUUGAUUCCCCAAGAGGUCAACACUCAAUCGAGUAUUUACCAAAAGAAAGACCAGCCAAAUCAUUUCAGGCAUAUCAACCCACUUUUAAUAAGGAAUCAAAGGAUAUAAACUACACUCCCACCGCCCACCUGUCUGUAUCUUCUGGUUAUGUUUCUGCAAGCCCUGUCUACCCUUCACCACAGAGUAGUAGUGGCCAUGUAAGUGUUCAAACAAGCAGCCCACAUGAUGCUCAGAAAGAAGCUUUUACCAGAAAGCAGCCAGUCAGCCUCCACCGACUGUUUACGGUGAAACCUUCCAGCUCUCUUUAUGGCUCAAGUAGACAUGAUGACUAUCUCCAAGGCAAGAUAGUCCAUUUUAGUCAUCCUUCCACCCUAAGUACCCAGGCAAAAGAUGAGAAGCCUGACCUCUUCAAGCAACAUCUAGUCUCUGCCACUCGGGGACUAAAACAAAAGGCUGGCCAUAACUUAAAUCUCAUUUCAAGUGGCUUCGACUCAACCCAUAGUGGGAUCUCCUCUUGGGUCGGAGAUAGUGACGCAAAUUUCAACUCUCACACUAACUUUGCUCCAACCUCAGCAUCAGAGGGAAGCCUUUCCAAGUUUAGUUGA
Molecule: long non-coding RNA, 2454 nt
Organism: Cottoperca gobio
Lineage: Eukaryota; Metazoa; Chordata; Actinopteri; Perciformes; Bovichtidae
Source: Ensembl